Molecule: long non-coding RNA, 1047 nt
Filed under: Acanthaster planci (crown-of-thorns starfish)
Lineage: Eukaryota; Metazoa; Echinodermata; Asteroidea; Valvatida; Acanthasteridae
Description: uncharacterized LOC110976246, transcript variant X2
Source: RNAcentral
CUACUUUUACGAAAACUUCUAAUAUUUUAUCUAACCUUUGCUGACAACAACUGCGUGAUGUCAACUCAACGGAAUCUUGAACACAUCGACUUCAGGUUGAACCUUGGAAUCAUGAACGUGUCUACAGGACAGUCUUCUGAGAUCGCUCUAUUUCUUCUGUACGUGCAGUCGGUUGCCCUGUAGAUGUACAUUGUACUUCCAGUGAUAUUUUUGGAGAGCUACGUCGACUGUGUUGUUACGGGCAUUCACCGCCAUGCUCGGUGAGAAGUUUCUUGGACAAAAUUUGAAAUGGAAGCUUUUUGAGGACAUUUUGAUGACAGUGAACAGCAUGCAAGACACGAAUGUACAAUGUAGACAGUCUUUACAAGGACUUGGGAACGAAGGGGCCGUCCAAAGUUUUCAACAUUUUCACGGUCGCACAAAGGGUGAAAUGAACGAUGAUAAGGGCAACAGAAACCCUGUAACUCCAGAUGAGAUGCACAAAACUCUUGACGAGGACACACAAAGACGUCUUCCAGACGAAGAAUCUGUUUUCAAGAAAGUCUCAACUCCAGCUUAACCAGGAAACACAUCUCUGAAGUAUGAUUAUGCUGAGGUUGGUGGUAGCGUGGCCAUUGCUAUGACCGUCCGUUCUAGGGCAUCUAACGAGGGAUAUGUUGACAGCCAAAACACUAGAAAGGAAAAUAAGAGGACACCAACCAAACAAACUGGAAAACAAUCCGAUAUAAACGGCCUACUUAAACGACCUCCCAGAAUGCAUCUCAAAAGGCACUCCGGUUAGGCUGUUCGCAGAUAAUGCAUUUAAAUAUCGUGAAAUUAGAUCUGAGGAGGAUUGUUCCAUCCUACAAGCUGACUUAGAUGCACUUACUAAAUGGGGAUCUGACUGGCAAAUGGCUUUCACUACCAGCAAAUGUUUCGUCAUGCACUUCACAAAAAGGGACCUCCAAAAAUGUCUCCUUACAUUUUGUGUGGAGAUCAACUCCAGACCACUGAUUGUAACUCGUACCUGAGAAUAAAAUGUAGUAAUAAUCUAAAAUGGGAAAAUCA